ACAGUUUCAGUAUAAUAUAUAUAUUUAAUUUCCAAUUAGAAGCCCCUACAAAAGUAGGAAACUGUA
RNAcentral lists this transfer RNA (66 nucleotides) under Friesea antarctica. Its description in RNAcentral is "tRNA-Gly". Lineage: Eukaryota; Metazoa; Arthropoda; Collembola; Poduromorpha; Neanuridae. The record is from RNAcentral.